UUUAAAAGUUUGUGUGAGC
This 19-nucleotide non-coding RNA is filed under the name Rattus norvegicus (Norway rat). The record is from RNAcentral. Lineage: Eukaryota; Metazoa; Chordata; Mammalia; Rodentia; Muridae.